This 1466-nucleotide ribosomal RNA is filed under the name Klebsiella pneumoniae. RNAcentral describes it as "bacterial SSU rRNA". It matches the Rfam family "Bacterial small subunit ribosomal RNA". The record is from RNAcentral. Lineage: Bacteria; Pseudomonadati; Pseudomonadota; Gammaproteobacteria; Enterobacterales; Enterobacteriaceae.
UGGCUCAGAUUGAACGCUGGCGGCAGGCCUAACACAUGCAAGUCGAGCGGUAGCACAGAGAGCUUGCUCUCGGGUGACGAGCGGCGGACGGGUGAGUAAUGUCUGGGAAACUGCCUGAUGGAGGGGGAUAACUACUGGAAACGGUAGCUAAUACCGCAUAAUGUCGCAAGACCAAAGUGGGGGACCUUCGGGCCUCAUGCCAUCAGAUGUGCCCAGAUGGGAUUAGCUAGUAGGUGGGGUAACGGCUCACCUAGGCGACGAUCCCUAGCUGGUCUGAGAGGAUGACCAGCCACACUGGAACUGAGACACGGUCCAGACUCCUACGGGAGGCAGCAGUGGGGAAUAUUGCACAAUGGGCGCAAGCCUGAUGCAGCCAUGCCGCGUGUGUGAAGAAGGCCUUCGGGUUGUAAAGCACUUUCAGCGGGGAGGAAGGCGAUAAGGUUAAUAACCUUGUCGAUUGACGUUACCCGCAGAAGAAGCACCGGCUAACUCCGUGCCAGCAGCCGCGGUAAUACGGAGGGUGCAAGCGUUAAUCGGAAUUACUGGGCGUAAAGCGCACGCAGGCGGUCUGUCAAGUCGGAUGUGAAAUCCCCGGGCUCAACCUGGGAACUGCAUUCGAAACUGGCAGGCUAGAGUCUUGUAGAGGGGGGUAGAAUUCCAGGUGUAGCGGUGAAAUGCGUAGAGAUCUGGAGGAAUACCGGUGGCGAAGGCGGCCCCCUGGACAAAGACUGACGCUCAGGUGCGAAAGCGUGGGGAGCAAACAGGAUUAGAUACCCUGGUAGUCCACGCCGUAAACGAUGUCGAUUUGGAGGUUGUGCCCUUGAGGCGUGGCUUCCGGAGCUAACGCGUUAAAUCGACCGCCUGGGGAGUACGGCCGCAAGGUUAAAACUCAAAUGAAUUGACGGGGGCCCGCACAAGCGGUGGAGCAUGUGGUUUAAUUCGAUGCAACGCGAAGAACCUUACCUGGUCUUGACAUCCACAGAACUUUCCAGAGAUGGAUUGGUGCCUUCGGGAACUGUGAGACAGGUGCUGCAUGGCUGUCGUCAGCUCGUGUUGUGAAAUGUUGGGUUAAGUCCCGCAACGAGCGCAACCCUUAUCCUUUGUUGCCAGCGGUUAGGCCGGGAACUCAAAGGAGACUGCCAGUGAUAAACUGGAGGAAGGUGGGGAUGACGUCAAGUCAUCAUGGCCCUUACGACCAGGGCUACACACGUGCUACAAUGGCAUAUACAAAGAGAAGCGACCUCGCGAGAGCAAGCGGACCUCAUAAAGUAUGUCGUAGUCCGGAUUGGAGUCUGCAACUCGACUCCAUGAAGUCGGAAUCGCUAGUAAUCGUAGAUCAGAAUGCUACGGUGAAUACGUUCCCGGGCCUUGUACACACCGCCCGUCACACCAUGGGAGUGGGUUGCAAAAGAAGUAGGUAGCUUAACCUUCGGGAGGGCGCUUACCACUUUGUGAUUCAUGACUGG